RNAcentral lists this ribosomal RNA (327 nucleotides) under uncultured eukaryote. RNAcentral's name for it is "partial 18S ribosomal RNA". It matches the Rfam family "Eukaryotic small subunit ribosomal RNA", at positions 1470 to 1796 of the family's 1831-position model. The record is from RNAcentral.
CCCUUAGAUGUUCUGGGCUGCACGCGCGCUACACUGAAGCGUUCAACGAGUAUUCACCUUGCCCGGGAGGGUUGGGUAAUCUUUUGAAAACGCUUCGUGAUGGGGAUAGAUUAUUGCAAAUAUUAAUCUUGAACGAGGAAUUCCUAGUAAGCGCAAGUCAACAGCUUGCGUUGAUUACGUCCCUGCCCUUUGUACACACCGCCCGUCGCUACUACUGAUUGGAUGUUUAAGCGAGGUUCUCGAACUGCUAGCGACUUAGCUUCGGUGAGGUCGCAGUGUGGGAAGUGAACCUAGCUUUGGUGUCUAGAGGAAGUAAAAGUCGUAACA